UAAUAAAUUCAUGAAACAGAAAAAGCACACAGUCCUAAAUAAGUGAUAAGCGAGAGAUGUAUGCAAAGAACAAUUAAAGAGUGUGUGUAAGAUAACACCGAUCUAUAUAUUAGUAAUAACAGGUUUAAAGCUUUGCUACCUAACAUUUCGAGUAGAUUGUGUUGUCUUUACUAAGGAUGAGUUUAAAUUGGAAGAUAUUUAACUGUAUUACCAUUCUUUGUUUCCUUUUUU
RNAcentral lists this long non-coding RNA (231 nucleotides) under Lathyrus oleraceus (garden pea). Its description in RNAcentral is "Pisum sativum (pea) long non-coding RNA (PSAT_LNC027963)". Lineage: Eukaryota; Viridiplantae; Streptophyta; Magnoliopsida; Fabales; Fabaceae. The record is from RNAcentral.